GUCAAGUAAAAUUUGUAUAUUUUCAAAUAUCUGAUACUGUUACUAGUAUAAGAAUCGAAGCCUGCUUAAAAUGUCCAUUUCAAUUUGGUCUUUCAAUUAUAAAAUUAGAGUUGUCGCUGCACAAUUUAAAAGGAAAGAAAAAUUGUUUUGUCAUCCAUGUCAGUAUAGUCAAUGAUGUUUAUUAACAACCAAAUUUACAAGGUAAACAGAAACUGACUUAGACGUUGUAAACCGCAGUGGCCUCUUCUAUGUUGAAUCAGUGUACACACUUCAAACAAAAGACCAUUAAGUGUUAUAUACAUUAUUAACAAUCUUCUGUCUUUGAAAUUUAACCCUCAAAGACAAAAUUUAAUAUAUUAUUUACAAUUUUGUAUUUGAAAUUAACCAUCAAAUAGAUAAAUUAAUAAUAAAAAGUUCAGUUGUUGAAAUUCAGCAGUGCCAAUGUUUCUUGACUUGGUUAUAACAGUUAUAUUUUUUUCCACGAAAACUAAUUUGAUAAAAUGAAAUAUCAUUUAAUUAUUUCGAUACUAAUCUCGAUUUUCUUUGUUGUACAAAUAAUAACGUCGACCAUUGUUCACUGGAAGAAAUACGACUUCAUACGUCCACCACUUAUCUGCAAGCCAAGCAAGAUUCUUUUCUCAGUUAUCGUUCAUGACCAGUAUGAAUGCAACAAGAUUUUUAAUUUACGCAACGCAGCUGCAUCGUUAGCUCAUUCAAACCGGAAAAUAAUGAGUGUAUUGGAUGCAAGGAGUUUAGGAUUUGGUAUACUGUGAUGAACCAUGAAAUAAAUUAUGCCAUCAGACCAUUCAAAAGUGAAGUGAGCGACUGUAAAGAAAUUCUUGAUAAAUACCCGGAAGCAGAAAGUGGCUUUUAUGAGAUAGAACUAUGGAAGUCUGGAAAGAUACUUAUUGUGAAUUGUGACAUGGAAACUGACGGUGGCGGCUGGACGGUCUGAAGUUCAUACAAGAAUUAGCUAACCAAGAUCAUUCAGAAGUCCGCAUUGAUGUUACAAAUCUUAACAACCAAACAGGGUAUGAGACCUUUCAGGAAUUUAAGUUAACAGAUGGAACAGACUAUAAACUCAACAUUGGGUCAGGCGACG
Ruditapes philippinarum (Manila clam) is the source of this 1102-nucleotide long non-coding RNA. RefSeq lists it as uncharacterized. The transcript has 3 exons. The record is from RefSeq and is a predicted model, not a curated record. Lineage: Eukaryota; Metazoa; Mollusca; Bivalvia; Venerida; Veneridae.